UGGGGAAUAUUGCACAAUGGGCGAAAGCCUGAUGCAGCAACGCCGCGUGCGGGAUGACGGCCUUCGGGUUGUAAACCGCUUUCAGCAGGGACGAAGGUUUUCUGACGGUACCUGCAGAAGAAGCACCGGCUAACUACGUGCCAGCAGCCGCGGUGAUACGUAGGGUGCGAGCGUUGUCCGGAAUUAUUGGGCGUAAAGAGCUUGUAGGCGGUCCGUUGCGUCGGAAGUGAAAACUCAGGGCUUAACCCUGAGCCUGCUUUCGAUACGGGCGGACUUGAGGGAUGUAGGGGAGAACGGAAUUCCUGGUGGAGCGGUGGAAUGCGCAGAUAUCAGGAGGAACACCAGUGGCGAAGGCGGUUCUCUGGACAUUUCCUGACGCUGAGAAGCGAAAGCGUGGGGAGCAAACAGGCUUAGAUACCCUGGUAGUCCACGCCGUAAACGGUGGGCACUAGGUGUGGGACCCAUUCCACGGGUUCCGUGCCGUAGCUAACGCAUUAAGUGCCCGCCUGGGG
RNAcentral lists this ribosomal RNA (512 nucleotides) under uncultured bacterium. RNAcentral's name for it is "partial 16S ribosomal RNA". It matches the Rfam family "Bacterial small subunit ribosomal RNA", at positions 355 to 878 of the family's 1533-position model. The record is from RNAcentral.